This 1254-nucleotide long non-coding RNA is filed under the name Volvox carteri. RNAcentral describes it as "long non-coding RNA (VCAR_LNC001277)". Lineage: Eukaryota; Viridiplantae; Chlorophyta; Chlorophyceae; Chlamydomonadales; Volvocaceae. The record is from RNAcentral.
GAAAAUAAAUUCACCCAAACCGUUGUCAGGGUCCGGCUACGUGGCUAUGACUCGGAAUGUAAUCCACAUGUUCACAAAGCACCAUGAAAUGUAAAAUUAUAAUUUUGUAAAAGAAAUAAGCAGAUAGGAUAUCUUGUCGACAAUAUAUUUCCGUAGCCUGUACUACCGGUACGACAGAUAUUGUAUUGGCCAAUAAACCCAAAAAAAUGCUGCAGGUGUGUACAAAUUACACACGGAACACUAGAUAGCGUCUAUCAUGAAGCUAAUCCUGGACGUGGUGACAAGUGAACAGGUUUACAGCCUAGUAAGUGAUAGCGGGUGAUAGGUAAUGGAGUCUUCAGCGACAUGUAUCGCAUAAGAGCAGCCCCGCCCCACGAACAUGCGCCCCAGAAGCAAAGCGCACAAAAACGCCCAACGACAUGUCCUCUGUUCUCUAGACGAGACGCACUGCAUCGCACUGCACUGCCGCCUCAAGCUUCGUGAAGCUUUAGUGAAUCCCAAGGGCUUAUCACGACCUGGAGCCUGCUGAUUAUGAUGACUGAGUGCACUGCGGGAUGCUGGGUUGGAUACGCUGGGUGAGCUACAGCGGCAUGAAAACGCACAGCGCGUCACGAGUAUUUAUGGGGGUAACAACUCCGGGCAAGUGCAGCAGCUAUAUAAUUUCCGCCCAUAUCCGAGAAUCCUUACAGGGCCAAAGGUGAGGGGCGUAAGGCCGGCUGGCACUGAUGUCCCAGUCCCAAUCUCAAGUGUGUACGGCGUUGUUUGCAUCCUCGCUCAUGGUUUCGCCUGCGUUAGCUGGGCGCACGUAUCCACACGCUCUGCUAUCGCGUGGAACUGGUAACGUAACCUGCCAGCGUACGCCACACUUAGCACGAGCCCUACUUUACCAUUAGCUUGAUAUAAGCGAGGGCUGCCCUUGCUCCAAGUUUCGGGCUUCCUGUUUCAGUGCAAGGUAAAUCAAAACGUUACCUCACGUUAUUUUGGAUAGGAAAUACAACAGGUUAUUCAUUCACUCCGACGAGUUCUAGGCAUCCAUUUGUGCCGAGUGAAGCUGACUGGAAACCUGCAACGCCUUCCAAAUAGCUUCAGCGAAAAUCUGCAACAGGUAUGUAUGUGUUGUUUACAUCGGGAAAGGAUGAAACGCUGACUUUGGAAACAUGGCAUGUCCCGGUCGUACUUCAAAGCUUACUACGAGCGCAAAGGAAGCAAUUUGUACAAAACGUAGAACAUAACAUAUGACUUCCUGAAUAGGUC